GACGAACGCUGGCGGCGUGCCUAAUACAUGCAAGUCGAACGAGAGCAACCGGUGCUUGCACUGGUCAAUCUAGUGGCGAACGGGUGAGUAACACGUGGGUAACCUGCCCAUCAGAGGGGGAUAACAUCCGGAAACGGAUGCUAAAACCGCAUAGGUCUUCGAACCGCAUGGUUUGAAGAGGAAAAGAGGCGCAAGCUUCUGCUGAUGGAUGGACCCGCGGUGCAUUAGCUAGUUGGUGAGGUAACGGCUCACCAAGGCCGUGAUGCAUAGCCGACCUGAGAGGGUGUUCGGCCACAUUGGGACUGAGACACGGCCCAAACUCCUACGGGAGGCAGCAGUAGGGAAUCUUCCGCAAUGGACGCAAGUCUGACGGAGCAACGCCGCGUGAGUGAAGAAGGUUUUCGGAUCGUAAAACUCUGUUGUUAGAGAAGAACAAGUGCUAGAGUAACUGUUAGCGCCUUGACGGUAUCUAACCAGAAAGCCACGGCUAACUACGUG
RNAcentral lists this ribosomal RNA (498 nucleotides) under uncultured bacterium. RNAcentral describes it as "partial 16S ribosomal RNA". It matches the Rfam family "Bacterial small subunit ribosomal RNA", at positions 28 to 507 of the family's 1533-position model. The record is from RNAcentral.